Molecule: ribosomal RNA, 405 nt
Filed under: Triticum aestivum (bread wheat)
Lineage: Eukaryota; Viridiplantae; Streptophyta; Magnoliopsida; Poales; Poaceae
Description: partial small subunit ribosomal RNA
Source: RNAcentral
AUGUUGGCCUUUCGUGAUGUGCUUGAGGUAUGUCAACUAGUGGAUAUUGGUUUCUCAGGUGUACCGUUUACUUAUGAUAAUAGGAGAAGCGGGACUGCAAACGUGCGUGUACGUUUGGAUCGUGUUGUCGCCUCUAGUGCUUGGCGCAAUAUGUUCGCUUUCUCCUCAGUGGCCCAUGUGGUGUCUCCCUGUUCGGAUCAUGUGGUUCUUAUUCUUAAGGGGACCCCGGACCCUGGGCCGAGCGCAGGAAGACGACGCCAGUAUGAAAUCUUUUGGGAGCGAAGUGGUGAGCUUCCCGAGUUGGUGCAGCAAGCAUGGGAGUCGGUGGGAGCAAUUGGGAACCUUGAACAGUUGCAGUCAGCCCUGAAGAAGACCAUGUAUACUUUGGGCAUAUGGAGUAGGAAA